GACGAACGCUGGCGGCGUGCUUAACACAUGCAAGUCGAACGGAAAGGCCCUGCUUUUGUGGGGUGCUCGAGUGGCGAACGGGUGAGUAACACGUGAGUAACCUGCCCUUUACUUUGGGAUAACUUCAGGAAACUGGGGCUAAUACCGGAUAGGAGCUCCUGCUGCAUGGUGGGGGUUGGAAAGUUUCGGCGGUUGGGGAUGGACUCGCGGCUUAUCAGCUUGUUUGUGGGGUAGUGGCUUACCAAGGCUUUGACGGGUAGCCGGCAUGAGAGGGUGACCGGCAACAAUGGGACUGAGAUACGGACCAGACUGCUACGGGAGGCAGCAGGGGGGAAUAUUGCACAAUGGGAGGAAGCCUGAUGAAGAAACGCAGCGUGCGGGAUGAAGGCCUUCGGGUUGUAAAACGCUUUCGCCUGUGACGAAGCGUGAGUGACGGUAAUGGGUAAAGAAGCACCGGCUAACUACGUG
This 468-nucleotide ribosomal RNA is filed under the name uncultured bacterium. RNAcentral's name for it is "partial 16S ribosomal RNA". It matches the Rfam family "Bacterial small subunit ribosomal RNA", at positions 28 to 507 of the family's 1533-position model. The record is from RNAcentral.